Molecule: ribosomal RNA, 91 nt
Filed under: Methanobacteriota archaeon
Lineage: Archaea; Methanobacteriati; Methanobacteriota
Description: Euryarchaeota archaeon partial 16S ribosomal RNA
Rfam family: Archaeal small subunit ribosomal RNA
Source: RNAcentral
AUGGCGUAUUCGAGCCUGCCUUCGACAAGGAGGGUUAAGUCGUAACAAGGUAUCUGUAGGGGAACCUGCAGAUGGAUCACCUCCUAAGAAA